AAACACCAAAUAUACGACGUGACAUUAUCUAGGAUGGAUGUAAUCUACUCAAUAACAUGUCCAGGAAGGUGUUUACUUAGCCCUUACAACUGCAGUUAAAGAACAGGGAUAUGGGUCUGGCUGUUUUCCACAUGAAUCAAUGAACACAAGAAUACAUCUCAAAGAAAUCAAGAGAGAAAACAUAAGAUGAUCAAUGAAAGAAAAGAUAAGAGCCUUCAUAAAAAGAAAUUACAAGAAAAAUUAGAAGGA
Molecule: long non-coding RNA, 249 nt
Organism: Haliotis rufescens (red abalone)
Lineage: Eukaryota; Metazoa; Mollusca; Gastropoda; Lepetellida; Haliotidae
Exons: 3
Source: RefSeq, a predicted model, not a curated record